UACGUAGGGUGCGAGCGUUGUCCGGAAUUAUUGGGCGUAAAGAGCUUGUAGGCGGUUUGUCGCGUCUGCUGUGAAAAUCCGGGGCUCAACCCCGGACUUGCAGUGGGUACGGGCAGACUAGAGUGUGGUAGGGGAGACUGGAAUUCCUGGUGUAGCGGUGAAAUGCGCAGAUAUCAGGAGGAACACCGGUGGCGAAGGCGGGUCUCUGGGGCCGAUACUGACG
RNAcentral lists this ribosomal RNA (223 nucleotides) under uncultured bacterium. Its description in RNAcentral is "partial 16S ribosomal RNA". It matches the Rfam family "Bacterial small subunit ribosomal RNA", at positions 524 to 745 of the family's 1533-position model. The record is from RNAcentral.